RNAcentral lists this ribosomal RNA (469 nucleotides) under Pseudomonas sp. A21-65. Its description in RNAcentral is "bacterial SSU rRNA". It matches the Rfam family "Bacterial small subunit ribosomal RNA", at positions 18 to 484 of the family's 1533-position model. Lineage: Bacteria; Pseudomonadati; Pseudomonadota; Gammaproteobacteria; Pseudomonadales; Pseudomonadaceae. The record is from RNAcentral.
UAUGGCUCAGAUUGAACGCUGGCGGCAGGCCUAACACAUGCAAGUCGAGCGGAUGAAGGGGGCUUGCUCCUGGAUUCAGCGGCGGACGGGUGAGUAAUGCCUAGGAAUCUGCCUGGUAGUGGGGGAUAACGUCCGGAAACGGGCGCUAAUACCGCAUACGUCCUGAGGGAGAAAGUGGGGGAUCUUCGGACCUCACGCUAUCAGAUGAGCCUAGGUCGGAUUAGCUAGUUGGUGGGGUAAAGGCCUACCAAGGCGACGAUCCGUAACUGGUCUGAGAGGAUGAUCAGUCACACUGGAACUGAGACACGGUCCAGACUCCUACGGGAGGCAGCAGUGGGGAAUAUUGGACAAUGGGCGAAAGCCUGAUCCAGCCAUGCCGCGUGUGUGAAGAAGGUCUUCGGAUUGUAAAGCACUUUAAGUUGGGAGGAAGGGCAGUAAGUUAAUACCUUGCUGUUUGACGUACCAACAG